GAAUGGUUGAGGGAUAUAUUGGGGGAGAAGAGAUUAUUUCUUCAAUUUUCGGAAACGAAAUACAUGGGAUGGUGUGGGUACUUCUAGUACUCGUAACUCGUAUUUUGAGGUGUUCCAUUGUUACUAACAGUACAGUAUAGUAUAGUACAGUAUAGUAUAGUAUAGUAUAGUAUGUUAAUGUUAAUCAUUAGUUAGUUAAUCAGUUUGUUAGCUGCUGCUCUUCGAUUCAAUGGGGGCAGUUGAAUUGAGAUGCGAGAUGCGAAAUGGAAGAUAUCUAGAUGGAUUGGACCAUGAGGUUUUUUUUUUCUUUUUUUUUGUGGGGGGGGGGGAAGUUUGAUGGUUGUUGGUUGCAUGCAUGUAUGUAUGUAUGUAUGCAUCUCCAGCGCAAAAAAGCGAG
This 397-nucleotide small RNA is filed under the name Histoplasma capsulatum var. duboisii H88. Its description in RNAcentral is "Histoplasma capsulatum H88 hypothetical RNA". Lineage: Eukaryota; Fungi; Ascomycota; Eurotiomycetes; Onygenales; Ajellomycetaceae. The record is from RNAcentral.